Molecule: ribosomal RNA, 468 nt
Filed under: uncultured bacterium
Lineage: Bacteria
Description: partial 16S ribosomal RNA
Rfam family: Bacterial small subunit ribosomal RNA
Source: RNAcentral
GACGAACGCUGGCGGCGUGCUUAACGCAUGCAAGUCGAACGGAAAGGCCCUGCUUUUGUGGGGUGCUCGAGUGGCGAACGGGUGAGUAACACGUGAGUAACCUGCCCUUGACUUUGGGAUAACUUCAGGAAACUGGGGCUAAUACCGGAUAGGAGCUCCUGCUGCAUGGUGGGGGUUGGAAAGUUUCGGCGGUUGGGGAUGGACUCGCGGCUUAUCAGCUUGUUGGUGGGGUAGUGGCUUACCAAGGCUUUGACGGGUAGCCGGCCUGAGAGGGUGACCGGCCACAUUGGGACUGAGAUACGGCCCGGACUCCUACGGGAGGCAGCAGUGGGGAAUAUUGCACAAUGGGCGGAGGCCUGAUGCAGCAACGCCGCGUGCGGGAUGACGGCCUUCGGGUUGUAAACCGCUUUCGCCUGUGACGAAGCGUGAGUGACGGUAAUGGGUAAAGAAGCACCGGCUAACUACGUG